RNAcentral lists this ribosomal RNA (483 nucleotides) under uncultured bacterium. RNAcentral's name for it is "partial 16S ribosomal RNA". It matches the Rfam family "Bacterial small subunit ribosomal RNA", at positions 29 to 507 of the family's 1533-position model. The record is from RNAcentral.
UUGAACGCUGGCGGCAUGCUUUACACAUGCAAGUCGCACGGCAGCGCGGGCUUCGGCCUGGCGGCGAGUGGCGAACGGGUGAGUAAUGCAUCGGAACGUGCCCAGUAGUGGGGGAUAGCCCGGCGAAAGCCGGAUUAAUACCGCAUACGACCUGAGGGUGAAAGCGGGGGACCGAAAGGCCUCGCGCUAUUGGAGCGGCCGAUGUCGGAUUAGCUAGUUGGUGGGGUAAAGGCUUACCAAGGCGACGAUCCGUAGCUGGUCUGAGAGGACGACCAGCCACACUGGGACUGAGACACGGCCCAGACUCCUACGGGAGGCAGCAGUGGGGAAUUUUGGACAAUGGGGGCAACCCUGAUCCAGCCAUGCCGCGUGCGGGAAGAAGGCCUUCGGGUUGUAAACCGCUUUUGUUCGGGAAGAAAUCCUCUGGGCUAAUACCCCGGGGGGAUGACGGUCCCGGAAGAAUAAGCACCGGCUAACUACGUG